Molecule: transfer RNA, 74 nt
Filed under: Palleronia salina
Lineage: Bacteria; Pseudomonadati; Pseudomonadota; Alphaproteobacteria; Rhodobacterales; Roseobacteraceae
Also listed under: 1 other name
Description: Maribius salinus tRNA
Rfam family: tRNA
About the family: Transfer RNA (tRNA) molecules are approximately 80 nucleotides in length. Their secondary structure includes four short double-helical elements and three loops (D, anti-codon, and T loops). Further hydrogen bonds mediate the characteristic L-shaped molecular structure. tRNAs have two regions of fundamental functional importance: the anti-codon, which is responsible for specific mRNA codon recognition, and the 3' end, to which the tRNAs corresponding amino acid is attached (by aminoacyl-tRNA synthetases). tRNAs cope with the degeneracy of the genetic code in two manners: having more than one tRNA (with a specific anti-codon) for a particular amino acid; and 'wobble' base-pairing, i.e. permitting non-standard base-pairing at the 3rd anti-codon position.
Source: Rfam by way of RNAcentral
CGGGCAGUAGCGCAGCCUGGUAGCGCACCUGCUUCGGGAGCAGGGGGUCGGAGGUUCGAAUCCUCUCUGCCCGA